AAGUCGUAACAAGGUUUCCGUAGGUGAACCUGCGGAAGGAUCAUUAAUGAAUUGUAAUCGGAGUUGAUGCUGGUAGCUUGUGGCUGCAUGUGCUCGCUCCUUAACAAACACCUGUGCACAUUUAGAGAGAGGGUCUUCGAGUUCUCCUUGGAGUCCCUUCCUCUUAUUACACACUUUAGUCUAAUAUUGAACGUGAUUGUGCCGUGAGGCCUUAAUAUCAAUACAACUUUUAACAACGGAUCUCUUGGCUCUCGCAUCGAUGAAGAACGCAGCGAAAUGCGAUAAGUAAUGUGAAUUGCAGAAUUCAGUGAAUCAUCGAAUUUUUGAACGCACCUUGCGCUCCCUGGUAUUCCGGGGAGCACGCCUGUUCGAGUGUCGUGAAAUUCUCAAGCUGGGAUGUUUUCUCGGCUUGGUGUUGGGCUUUGCAGUUCCUUUGAUUGGGAUGGCUGGCCUCAAAAGUAUUAGCUGGCUUUUCAUGUGGGGAUUGGUUUGACUCAGCGUGAUAAUAAUCUGACCGCUGAGGACAUCUUCUGGCCAGAGAUGACCGAUUCUCAUUUGGGCUGCUUCUAAUCUUGGUGUAGAGCGGAUGCUGAAUCUGUUCCACUUUUUUCACCUUUUGACCUCGAAUCAGGUGGGACUACCCGCUGAACUUAA
Molecule: ribosomal RNA, 654 nt
Filed under: uncultured fungus
Lineage: Eukaryota; Fungi
Description: eukaryotic LSU rRNA
Rfam family: 5.8S ribosomal RNA (bases 225-378)
Source: RNAcentral